This 497-nucleotide ribosomal RNA is filed under the name uncultured bacterium. Its description in RNAcentral is "partial 16S ribosomal RNA". It matches the Rfam family "Bacterial small subunit ribosomal RNA", at positions 28 to 507 of the family's 1533-position model. The record is from RNAcentral.
GGUGAACGCUGGCGGCGUGCCUAAUACAUGCAAGUCGAGCGAACAGACGAGGAGCUUGCUCCUCUGACGUUAGCGGCGGACGGGUGAGUAACACGUGGAUAACCUACCUAUAAGACUGGGAUAACUUCGGGAAACCGGAGCUAAUACCGGAUAAUAUAUUGACCCGCAUGGUUCAAUAGUGAAAGACGGUUUUGCUGUCACUUAUAGAUGGAUCCGCGCCGCAUUAGCUAGUUGGUAAGGUAACGGCUUACCAAGGCAACGAUGCGUAGCCGACCUGAGAGGGUGAUUGACUAGACUGGAACUGAGACACGGUCCAGACUCCUACGGGAGGCAGCAGUAGGGAAUCUUCCGCGAUGGGCGAAAGCUUGACGGAGCAAAGCCGCGGAAGUGAUGAAGGUCUUCGGAUCGUAAAACUCUGUUAUUAGGGAAGAAGAAAUGUGUAAGUAACUAUGCACGUAUUGACGGUACCUAAUCAGAAAGCCACGGCUAACUACGUG